ACCUCACAACCGACAUUACUCACCAUUCAGAUGUAUUGAGGGGGUGACAAAGAUUUUUGCAAACAUGCAAAAUGUAUUUGUUGUCACAUGACAACACUGGGGAACUAGAUAGGAGAGAGGUGGGGAGAGUACAGGAGGGGUUUAUAGAGCAGAGGGUAAAACUUCGGCGAGUUGGAGAGAGGGGAGGCAGUGAGCAUCACAGGACGAGGGAGAGAACGGAGACGAACACCCAGCUGUGUGCCGGUGUCGUGCCGAUGCCGUGCUGUGCUACCACCAGCUAAGAUUUUUCCUGUACCCUUUGCAUCCUUGUAGUACUCAGCCGGUUUCUCCACUUGCCUGCGCCAAACAGUAGGUCCGCUAAUAUAGCGUACUAUAUAGCCUGUAAUGGCUGGCAGGUAAGUGUACAGGAGGCGUAGUCACAUGGUACGGCUCUAACUAGCAGACCGCGUCUACUGAGCAGGCGCGUCCCGGUACCUCGCCUAGCGCUGUGUGGUUGCCAUGGGGACCGCGUACUACAGUGAAAAGUUGACAACGGGGGAACAUGCCGGAGAAAGCCCUGGUGACUGUGCGGUUCGGUCCGUACAUGAACGGCUCUGGAGUAGUGCAGCACGGUGUGUCCAGGCUGCAGGGGCUGCGAGAAAUCAUGGUUUAUGAAAACUACAGGCAGGGACAAAUUUCUUUUUUAAAGAUAAAAGUAGGAGUUUAUUUCGAGAAAGGAGACUCGGAGCUCUCUGCCAGCUCACGUGCUCCAAGCCUCUUCCACCGGAUUCCUCUACCACAGACACCAUGACGGAUAUGAAGCUGUUCUGGUCUCAGAUGGACACAAAGUUGUCUUGGAAGAAAUACUAGAUCGGGACACUGUGGAACUUAUGGUGAAUGGAGAGAUUAUAUUUCAGUGUAAUAUCAAGGAACUUGACUUUGGAGGUGAUGGCAAGUUG
Molecule: RNA transcript, 938 nt
Organism: Hyla sarda
Lineage: Eukaryota; Metazoa; Chordata; Amphibia; Anura; Hylidae
Gene: C7H10orf53
Gene name: chromosome 7 C10orf53 homolog
Exons: 6
Source: RefSeq, a predicted model, not a curated record